AAUAAGAAAAAAUAUACACUGGACCUGCAGUUAACUUCUUGACAAUGCCAAGGAUAAAAAACAGAUGAAACAACAUUUGUUGAAGAUGAAAAGAGCACUUCAUCUCCCUCUAAGAGGAGCUGGCCCUAGAUAACUGCCAGGGAAAAAGCAAGGCUAGCUUCCCUAUGAGACUGGUGCAUGUCUGUCCUGCAUGCCUGCUGCCAGCCACUCCCAGGGCUCCUGGCUGGCCACCCACAAGAACAAGUUCAGAGUACAGCCCUCUUGCCCAACCUCGGUGCUUUGCUCCAUCUGAGUGCAUUCCAGCAGGCUGGGAGCCCUCUGAGUUUUACAAAAUACCCAGAAUUUAAACUCCAGAGUCUGGAGGAGGAAGCCACGAGUAGUUCCUGGUGCCCAUGGCUGAAGCCUGUGGAUCAGGAGUUCUGAGCCAGGAUCUGUGCCCAGCACUCAAGUGGGAGAGGAACAAGCACUCUCCAGAACCUGAGAGAGACUUCUGCUCAAAGGAGCCCUGUGGCUUGAAACUCUUAACAGCAACAAAAAAAUUGAGGGCCCAGUGCUAGUGAUCUGAGGUGGCUCCCUGAAAGCUCAGAAGUGGACCUGGUGAGUAGAUCACCUCCCUGUCCCAUAGAGCACAGCUUCAAAUGCAAAGAGGAACAAAGGAGUCACAUGACUGAAUAUGAGCCUAUGUACCACCCAUUGCUCUCAAGCAUCAUCUACUGGAUUGCAGUCCAAACCACAACACCAAAAAACACUGCUAAUUUUACCCUUUGGAAAAUCAAGGAUAAGAAGUUAACAAAAAACAAAGACUCUGUACAAAGCUUUAAUUAGCCUUCUGAAAACUCAAAACGAAGCCAAGUGACUAUACUCAAUUUAAACCACAAAAAAAGAACACCAACCCUCCCAGAAGAGAAAGAAUCAGCACAAGAUCUUUGGCAAUUAAAAAAGCCAAAGUGUCCCCUUACCUCCAAAUGGGCCUGCUUGCUCCCCAGCAAUGGUUCUUAAACAGCCCGAAAUGUCUCAAAUGAUACACAUGGAAUUCAGAAUGUGGCUGGCAAGAAAGGUCACCGAAAUCCCUGGGAAAAAUUGUAACUCAAUCCAAGGAAGCCAAGACAUCAAGUAAAAUGAUUCAAGAGCUUAAAGUUGAAAAAGCCAUUUUAAGAAAGACCCAAACUGAACUUUUGAGCUGCAAAAUUCACUACAAGAAUUCUGAACUAGUUUUAAGUCAAAAUAUUAAUGACGAUCCUCAGGGCAGCCUCUAAGAAAAUAACUCAAAAAAUGCAUAGUGGAAGAAACAGCAAGAGAGUUAAAAUUGUAUACUAGAAAAAUACCUAACACAAAGAAUGCAGUAAUGACAGAAGAUAGUAAUGGCAAAACAGAGGAACAAAAAGGAAAUACACACAGAAAACAGCGAAAUGGCAGGCAUAUAUCCUACUUUAUCAAUAAUUACAUUAAAUGUGAGUUGAUUAAUGCUCCAACCAAAAGGCAGAGAUUGGCAGAAUAAUUUUUUAAAAAAACAACAUGAUCCAAUUAUAUGCUGUCUACAGAAGACAAACUGAGUCAGACACAAAUAGGUUGAAAGUAAAAGGAUGGGAAAAUAUAUGUCAUGCAAACAGUAAAGAAAGCUGGAAUGGCUAUGCUACUAUCAGGCAGAAUAGACUGUAAGACAAAAAUCAUUACUGGAAGCAAAAAAAGAGACAUUUUAUAAUUAUAAAAGGAUUGCUCCAUCAGGAAGACAUAACUAUAAAUGUAUGUGCACCUAACACCUAAGCUCCAAAAUACAUGAAGCAAAAACUAAUAGAAUUGAAGGGAGAAAUAGAAAUUCAGUGAUAAUAGCUGGAGGCUUCAGUACCCCACUUUCAAUAAUGGAUAGAACAACUGGACAGAAGUUCAACAAAGAAAUAGAAGACUCAAACAACACUCUAUACCAACUAGACCUCAAAGGCAUCUAUAGAACACUCUAAACAACAGCAGAUACAUGUUCUUCUCAAGUAUGAAUUAGACUACAAAUUGAGCCUCAAUAAAUUUAAAAGAUUGAAAUCAUACAAACUUCUGCAAUCACAAUGGAAUUUUUUUUUUUUUUUGAGACAGAGUCUCACUCUGUCACCCAGGCUGGAGUGCAGUAGCACAAUCUUGGCUCACUGCAACCUCUGCCUCCCAGGUUCAAGUGAUUCUUGUGCCUUAGCCACCUGAGUAGCUGGGAUUACAGGCAUUCACCACCACACCCAACUAAUUUUUGUAUAUUUAGUAGAGACAGGGUUUUGCCAUGUUGGCCAGGCUGGUCUUGAACUCCUGGCCUCAAGUGAUCUGCCCACCUCGGCCUCCCAAAAUGCUGGUAUUAUAGGUGUGAGCCAACACACCCAGCCAUGGGGUGAAAUCAAUAAUCAGUAACAAAAGGAAAAUUUGGAAAUUCUCAAUUGUGUGCAAAUUUAAACACACACACACAGACACACCCCUAAAUAAGCAAUAGGUCAAAGAAUAAAUCACAAGAGAAAUUAGAAAUGAAUGAAAAUGAAAACAAAAAUACAAUAUAUCAAAGCUUAUGUGGUGUAGUUAAAGCAGUGGUUAUAGGGAAAUAUACAGUUUAAAUGCUUAUGUUAAAAAAUAAUUUUAUUGCAUGUAUAUUAUACCUAAAUAAAGCUGAUAUUAAUGAAAAAAAGAAUUUCCUAAUCUGAAGUAUUAACAUCAGAAUAAACUAAGCUGAGGACAAAAUCUAAGAGCUCAAAGACAAGUUCUUUGAGUCAAUUCAAUGAGACAAAAAUAAAGAGGAAAAUGAAGAAAAAUCAACGAAAUCUCCAAGAACAAUGGGAUCAUGUAAAGAGACCAAAUCUAUGACUCAUUGGCAUUCCUGACACAGAAGGGGAGAUAAUAAGCAACUUGGAAACUAUAUUUGAGGAUAUAGUCCAUGAAAAUUUUUCUAAUCUCACUAGAGAGGUUGACAUGCAAAUCCAAGAAAUACAGAGAACUUAAGCCAGAUACUAUAAAGGACAACCAUCCUCCUCAAGGCCAAUGCAAAAGAAAAAAUCUUGCCUAUUUCCUGAAUGGUAAUGCCUAGGUUUUCUUCUAGGGUUUUUAUGGUUUUAGGUCUAACGUUUAGAUCUUUAGUCCAUCUUGAAUUGAUUUUUGUAUAAGGUGUAAGGAAGGGAUCCACUUUCAGCUUUCUACAUAUGGCUAGCCAGUUUUCCCAGCAC
Molecule: long non-coding RNA, 3185 nt
Filed under: Homo sapiens (human)
Lineage: Eukaryota; Metazoa; Chordata; Mammalia; Primates; Hominidae
Description: HSALNT0283812
Source: RNAcentral